This 68-nucleotide transfer RNA is filed under the name Mimachlamys senatoria. RNAcentral's name for it is "tRNA-Tyr". It matches the Rfam family "tRNA". Rfam says of the family: Transfer RNA (tRNA) molecules are approximately 80 nucleotides in length. The record is from RNAcentral. Lineage: Eukaryota; Metazoa; Mollusca; Bivalvia; Pectinida; Pectinidae.
AGUGGGGUGGUCGAGCUGUAGGCGAUGGGCUGUAAACCUAUUUACGAGAUUUACUUCUCCCCCACGAC